UGGCGCAGCCCUCGUUCUCGUGGCUAUCUGGUUAGGAUGGCCCAA
Non-coding RNA from Streptococcus pseudopneumoniae IS7493, 45 nucleotides. Lineage: Bacteria; Bacillati; Bacillota; Bacilli; Lactobacillales; Streptococcaceae. The record is from Rfam.